UAAAGAGAUAGAGGCAGCGGUGCGUCAGAGUAGGACAGGGAGGAGACAUCCGAUGAAAUGUCUAAAAGGUAAUCAUCGCCGAAAGAGCUUGGUGGUAAUCAGGUCUCUUGGGGAUCAAGGAAAUACUUUGGUCACUCCUUCGCAAGAAGAGGCGUUAUCUGCAGG
This 165-nucleotide non-coding RNA is filed under the name Kandleria vitulina. RNAcentral's name for it is "Lysine sequence". It matches the Rfam family "Lysine riboswitch aptamer". Rfam says of the family: Riboswitches are metabolite binding domains within certain messenger RNAs that serve as precision sensors for their corresponding targets. The record is from RNAcentral. Lineage: Bacteria; Bacillati; Bacillota; Erysipelotrichia; Erysipelotrichales; Coprobacillaceae. RNAcentral also lists the same sequence under 1 other name.